Molecule: long non-coding RNA, 211 nt
Filed under: Homo sapiens (human)
Lineage: Eukaryota; Metazoa; Chordata; Mammalia; Primates; Hominidae
Description: HSALNT0024762
Source: RNAcentral
CUGAACCCAGGCGCUUUCUACGGCUCUCUUUCCUCUUGGUCAGCUCCAAGUAUGAGAUUUAUGAACGUUGAAGAGGUUCCCAGUGCUGUUAAAAGAUCAUCUUGAAGAUGCCUGUAGAGGGAGGCAAUUUGCUUUGAUCCAGCUACCUUAAUAGUGAAUUUGUCCUGAAACUGAAAAGAUGCUUCAAGACAGUUCGACGUGUCAAGGCAGG